Molecule: unclassified non-coding RNA, 20 nt
Filed under: Chlamydomonas reinhardtii
Lineage: Eukaryota; Viridiplantae; Chlorophyta; Chlorophyceae; Chlamydomonadales; Chlamydomonadaceae
Description: small RNA Cre_3612
Source: RNAcentral
UGUGGGGGCGCAGCGGGACG